This 604-nucleotide ribosomal RNA is filed under the name Micromonospora chaiyaphumensis. RNAcentral describes it as "bacterial SSU rRNA". It matches the Rfam family "Bacterial small subunit ribosomal RNA", at positions 78 to 698 of the family's 1533-position model. The record is from RNAcentral. Lineage: Bacteria; Bacillati; Actinomycetota; Actinomycetes; Micromonosporales; Micromonosporaceae.
CAUUCGGGGUACUCGAGCGGCGAACGGGUGAGUAACACGUGAGCAACCUGCCCUAGGCUUUGGGAUAACCCCGGGAAACCGGGGCUAAUACCGAAUAGGACCUCUGACCGCAUGGUUGGUGGUGGAAAGUUUUUCGGCCUGGGAUGGGCUCGCGGCCUAUCAGCUUGUUGGUGGGGUGAUGGCCUACCAAGGCGACGACGGGUAGCCGGCCUGAGAGGGCGACCGGCCACACUGGGACUGAGACACGGCCCAGACUCCUACGGGAGGCAGCAGUGGGGAAUAUUGCACAAUGGGCGGAAGCCUGAUGCAGCGACGCCGCGUGAGGGAUGACGGCCUUCGGGUUGUAAACCUCUUUCAGCAGGGACGAAUCGUAAGUGACGGUACCUGCAGAAGAAGCGCCGGCCAACUACGUGCCAGCAGCCGCGGUAAGACGUAGGGCGCGAGCGUUGUCCGGAUUUAUUGGGCGUAAAGAGCUCGUAGGCGGCUUGUCGCGUCGACUGUGAAAACCCGCAGCUCAACUGCGGUCCUGCAGUCGAUACGGGCAGGCUAGAGUUCGGUAGGGGAGACUGGAAUUCCUGGUGUAGCGGUGAAAUGCGCAGAUUUC